Long non-coding RNA from Mauremys mutica (yellowpond turtle), 1433 nucleotides. RefSeq lists it as uncharacterized. Lineage: Eukaryota; Metazoa; Chordata; Testudines; Geoemydidae. The record is from RefSeq and is a predicted model, not a curated record. The transcript is spliced from 3 exons.
CUUGACCGCCUGUGGUCAUCAAUGGGCCCUUGCACUUUCCCCGAGCACUAGGGCUCAGAUACUCAAAGGAAUUUAAGCACCAAACGUUCACCAAUUUCAAUGGGAGUUAGACACUUAAAUACCUCUGAGGAUCUGGGCCCAGGUUACUAACCCUGAUUGACUGGCCAAAUUCACAGAUUCAGUCAUAGAUUGUGAGGCCAGCAGGGCCCACUGUGAUCACUACAUCUGAGCUCCUGGCUAGAUGGGCCAUACGACUUCCCUGAAUUAACGCCAGUUUUGAACUAGAGCACAUUGUUUGUACAUCAAGACUGGGUGUUUUUCUAAAAUUCUGGUGGUGGAAAAGCAGCCACCACAACCCUUGGUAAGUUGUUCCCAUGGUUAAUUACCCUUGGCCGAGUACAUCCUGCUUCCCUAAAAUUCUCCCUUGCAGUUUCAAUAGCAAUGGCAAAUUUUUCUUCACUUCCUGUCCUAAGCUGUUGCCACAGCAUCACUGCACCUUGUGAAACAGAGGCUGGGUUCCACCCCAGGGGUGGCUGCAUUCCAGGGGUGGGGGAGGGACUCCUAGGCAUAACCUAUACAACAGUUUGGAAGGCCUUCAAGUGGAAAGGGGCUGGGGAGAUACAAAUCAAUGGGCCUGACUCUGGUCUCACGUACAGUGGCAGAAACCUCGCUGGUGUUACUGCUGAUUUACACUGGUGUAACUGAAAGCAGCACUGGGCUCGUUACCAUGAAAGCAGGCAGUUCUGCAGAGGGAUAGUGAUUGAUCCCAUAUGGGAAACUUGGUGGCUUCCAGCAGUUGUCUCUCCUCUGAAGGAAGAAAACUCCCCUCAGUCCAGUCCUCCACCUGUUACCAGUCCCCGCUGUAGCAGGACACAUGUCCCAAAGAAAGAGAUGAGGCUUUUACCUAGGUGCUCUUUGAGGAUGUCGACCUCCAGGGCUGCUUUCCUGUAUUUCUCCUCCACUUCAUUUUCUGCAGCAAGCGAGUGAAAGAGAGACUGUUAUUGCCGAUCUGACGCAGAGGAUGAGACAAGCUCCAGGAGGUGAGCUGGCGUAUCCCCCCCGCAACUGCAAUGUUUGAAAGCAGUCCAUUGGCCUGUUGGUACAACGCGUCGGAUCGGGGAAUGAAAUGGAAUCUUUACAAGGAAUGAACAUCCCCAGAGCAGAAGGUCAACGUGAGGAAAGUUGCCACCGCUGCUAACUUGCGAGCAAUUUCCACUGUUGCCAUGGAAUAGUUGAAUUUCCAAGCGGAGGCAGGAGAAAGGAAGGUGCUGCUCUGAGUCAUUUUUCCAGAACAUUCCAAAAGUGGACUUUACAAAGACAGAAGAGAUCCACAUCCCCAGAAAGGACACAAUUUAAUGUAAGCAAGUACUAGGAUGUAAAUAAAUUAUUUAUUCAAACUAAGUUGCAAAAACUGCAUUGCCCAGUUUGCAGUA